Molecule: ribosomal RNA, 258 nt
Filed under: uncultured bacterium
Lineage: Bacteria
Description: partial 16S ribosomal RNA
Rfam family: Bacterial small subunit ribosomal RNA
Source: RNAcentral
GACGAACGCUGGCGGCGUGCUUAACACAUGCAAGUCGAGCGGUAAGGCCCUUUCGGGGGUACGACGAGCGGCGAACGGGUGAGUAACACGUGGGUGACCUGCCCUCAGCUCUGGGAUAAGCCUGGGAAACCGGGUACUAAUACCGGAUAUGACUCCAUGACGCAUGUUGUGGGGUGGAAAGCCUUGUGCGGCUGAGGAUGGGCCCGCGGCCUAUCAGCUUGUUGGUGGGGUGANGGCCUACCAAGGCGACGACGGGUA